Sorex fumeus (smoky shrew) is the source of this 134-nucleotide small nucleolar RNA. RefSeq annotates it as small nucleolar RNA SNORA48. The record is from RefSeq and is a predicted model, not a curated record. The transcript has a single exon. NCBI's taxonomy places the organism in Eukaryota, Metazoa, Chordata, Mammalia, Eulipotyphla, Soricidae.
AACCCUGGCAAAGGGCAAAGAAACAGUUCAUUGGUAGUGGUGUUCUUCUAUCAGCCAGGACAAAGCAGACAGUCCUUUGUUCAUCCAAGCUUUGAUGUCUGGAUCAGAAACUGUUUCAUGCUUAGGGCACAGAA